RNAcentral lists this small RNA (1408 nucleotides) under Cryptococcus neoformans H99. RNAcentral describes it as "Cryptococcus neoformans var. grubii H99 hypothetical RNA". The record is from RNAcentral. Lineage: Eukaryota; Fungi; Basidiomycota; Tremellomycetes; Tremellales; Cryptococcaceae.
CGCCCGUCCAGCCUUCUCACAUCUUCUUUUUCCCAUUUUGUUCCACCAUUACGGACGCAAAAUGGACUCCUUCUGUUUUAGGUAUUUUUCUAGCACUACUACGUAAACAUAUAAUCCAUACAAAAGUACACGACGACGCCCAUUUCCCAGUAGAAAAUCCACCGUUCGGAAGUUGUUACCCAAAUUCCCCAGACACUGCUCAAAAUAAAGCUUUUGGCGGACGGAGGAGUCCAGCGCCGUUGUCGAUGAAAAAUUCUGGGCCAAAUCAGAAAGAAGGCAAAAAGGCCUUCACCGCCCGAGUCCAGCUACGUACCAACGGCUAUUUCCCUUUUUCUAUAUGAUCGCCCUUAGACACGACACAAGCCCUCGACGGGUCUCCCUAGGUCGCCCCUUACUCGUAUGUUAAAAGGCCCUGAAAGACCUAAAAAUCCGCCGUGCAGGAAGGGGUUCUGUUUCUUGCCAAAACCCUCAUUUUCCGCGUCUUCUCGAGGAGAGGAUCUCAGGGACAAGUAUCUGUUUUUAUGGAGAAAAAAAUUCCGCUUCUAUGGAAACACGAUGAUCGGUCUUUGAUUCUACAUUCUUGCAGGCAGGGAAGCGACAGCGCAGCCCCCAGCAGUAGCAGUAUAUAAUGACUGCAGUGGCUACCUGCGAACUGCUGUCUGCUGGCUGCCGCACUGUUGGCGAUGAUAUUCUCUUGCUUGAUUCGCCGCAAGUUUCCUGUAUAUAAAAAUUGCACAUUACAUUCAAUAGAAAUCGUUCGAGGGGUCUGCUGAAGUAAUCCAAGGGUCCUAUGCUCGAAUGAGAAGAUACAAGGAGUACAAUAGUAGUGCGUUAAUAGAAGAGAGAGGCCCCCUAUGUGGUCGAUCAAUUAAGGAUUGUUCAUUCAUAAACAUCGCGCAUGCCGUGCUGCCAGCUGGGAAGACAUGAAAGACCACCAUUAUGGCCAUUGUUCCAGAUGCACUAUGAUGUUCUAUCUGCUGGGUUCCCUCCGCACGCCCAUACCCAACAAAAAGAGGUCUAUCUCGAGUGCAAUGGGCCAUAGUUCCAAGGAAAAUGGGAAGAAGGAAAAAAAAUCGCCAGUUAGGAAGAAAUAGACAGCAGGAAAUGAGGACAUCUCACAGCUUCAAGGCAGGAACGGAAGACAGAAAACUCAGCCCACAAAACAUCAUCUGUUUGAAAAAAAUUAUGGUGUGCGGUGUCAGAUUCAAGACGAUACGAUGAUAGAAGUAGUGGAUGUUGAACUAGAUUUUUCGUCGGGCAAGUAUAGGUUGAGUUGGGGGAGGAAGUAAAGGGGACAAUACCAGCCGUGGCUGUAAUUAGGAUCUAUCUGCCGGACUGUGGCUUGAGGGCUAAUACAGUGUGAUAUACUUCGGCAAGCUACAUGAAUCAGCAGAAGAUCAACAUCAUC